UGCCCUAUAGCUCAAUGGCAGAGCGAGCGGUUGUUAACCGCAAGGUUGUAGGUUCAAGUCCUACUGGGGCAGCCA
This 75-nucleotide transfer RNA is filed under the name Leptolyngbya sp. FACHB-321. Its description in RNAcentral is "tRNA-Asn". It matches the Rfam family "tRNA". Rfam says of the family: Transfer RNA (tRNA) molecules are approximately 80 nucleotides in length. Lineage: Bacteria; Bacillati; Cyanobacteriota; Cyanophyceae; Leptolyngbyales; Leptolyngbyaceae. The record is from RNAcentral.